AGGGUUGUGGCUCAGAGGUAGAGCACUUGCCUCAAACACAUGAAGCACUGGGUUCGAUCCUCAGCACCACAG
This is a non-coding RNA of Ictidomys tridecemlineatus (thirteen-lined ground squirrel), 72 nucleotides long. Lineage: Eukaryota; Metazoa; Chordata; Mammalia; Rodentia; Sciuridae. The record is from Rfam.